Molecule: ribosomal RNA, 432 nt
Filed under: uncultured eukaryote
Lineage: Eukaryota
Description: partial 18S ribosomal RNA
Rfam family: Eukaryotic small subunit ribosomal RNA
Source: RNAcentral
UAAUAGUGUAUUUUAAAGUUGUUGCAGUUAAAAAGCUCGUAGUUGGAAGAUGCAUUUAAAAGUGGGGAUAACAACGUAAGUUGUUAUAACUAUUAUUUAAUUGUAUAAAUUUAUAUAUAUUUGAUUAAAUUAUUAAUUUAAUUUAAUUCCUAGUAAUAGGUUAUACUCUCUUUCGGGUAUAGAAAUUAUAUAUCAUUUACUUUGAGUAAAUUAGAGUGUUUAAAGCAAUUUUUCGAGAAAUUUUGAAUAUUAAAGCAUGGGAUAAUAAAAUAAGACUAUAAAUUGUAUGGUUUUAUUGGUGAUACAAUUUUAUUAUAGUAAUGAUUAAUAGGGAUAGUUGGGGGUAUUUGUAUUUCAUUGUCAGAGGUGAAAUUCUUGGAUUUAUGAAAGACAAACUUAUGCGAAAGCAUUUACCAAGGAUGUUUUCAUUAA